Sorghum bicolor (sorghum) is the source of this 104-nucleotide microRNA precursor. It matches the Rfam family "MIR5565 microRNA precursor family". The record is from Rfam. Lineage: Eukaryota; Viridiplantae; Streptophyta; Magnoliopsida; Poales; Poaceae.
GUAGUCGGAUUCGCAUCAAUCCACAUGUGUUGGGGUAGAUUGGAGUGGAACUUGAACUAAAUUCCACCUCAAUCCACUCCAACGCAUGUGAAGUGAAUCCGACA